AUGAUGAUAAUAGGGAUGAUCUCUUUGUCCUUUCUCAUCAGCAUACAGAGAAAUCAGGUUUGGCUCAAGCCUAUCAGGAAGAUACCAACCAAGAAACUGGUGUUGCCCAUUGCUUUCCAGAAAGACCACACGGAUUUGGGCUCUCCAUCCGGACAGAUUCCCGAGCUAUCAGGAGGAGAGGUGCGUGGGGAGCAGCCGGGAGCGCAGCGUGCCCAGCUCCGUGUGCCUCCCACCAGCAGCUCUCGCCUGCCCAGGCACGCAUGGAGCACGCCGUGCUGCCUGAUAGCGUAUAAAUCCACCAGGUGUGUGCUCAGGACAACAUUUCCUGGUAUCCCGGCUGCUUUUUGGCUACGCCAGAAGCCGUACUUAAGGAAUUACUGCCUAGUCUGGAUGGUAAAUGUGGUCUUCAGCACGGCAGCGUGCAUUUCUCAAAGGUCUGCAGAGAUGUAGCUGCAGCCUCCUCUUUGCUGAUACUUUCCCUAGGUCUGGUCAAGUUCUAGAUGACUCAAAUGACAUGAGAAAUGAUGGGAUAUCAAGUCUCAGUGGGUAGUGACCCUAUAGUUAGGUACAAGCAGAUAUUCCCCACUUGGGGCAGGAAAGAGGACCAUCACUUUUGAAGCAUAACGUUUGAUUAAACACAAAGAAACCUUUUUUUUCUAACCAACUUCACCAUUAAAUACUCAAGUAAGACCCUGUAGAAGGGUCACUGUGCAUCAGUGUCCUAUUGCUGAGUCAACUGAAAUGUUUUUUUCCUUUAUAAUUUCCCAGGAUCUACCAGGUUGGGCUGGUUACUUUGUGUUUUUAUCGUCCUAUUAUUUGGCAUUCAAAUGCGUGCAGUCAUUGAAGCGUUUGUUGGUUUCCUCAUUUGAAUUAUCCAUGCAAAGUUGAUCUCUGGUUUUCAAAAGCCAGUUUGCUCAGAUGUUGGCCGCUUAGUUUCCAGAAGUUCGCGUGGAUCUGCAGUGCUGGGGAAGCUGUUCCAUGUGCUUUUUUUUUUUUUUAGGCAUCAUCCCUUCUUCACAUGGGGAGACGAAGCAGGAGGAGCUGCUCACCAAGUAUAAAUGUCUGUAGAGCAAGAACUGCUAUUAGUGUGUCAGUUUUUGAAGUCUUGCUUUAAUCAGUGUGCUUUUGUAAGGGCUUCAGAAACUGCUCAUACUCUUGGCAUCUUCUGUUUUCCCUGCAUAGCAUGUUUAUAUCUACAACUGUGGUUUUCUUUCUAGUCUUUUUUUUUUUUAACCAUCCCUCUGAGGACAACCCUUGAUACUUCUUGCCCUGAUGAUGCACUCAUCAUCUUAAAGCUGUGUAAAACAGAUCUAAAGGGCACCAUGUCAGGUUGGGUGUUUGUCCCAGCCUUGCUAAUGCUGCUUGAAGUCAGCAGGCAGGUUGGUGUCAAAGAUAAAUUAUUAAGAUAAUUGACCAUGCGUUCAAAUUUUUUUGGAGUUAUUCCACAUUUUAGGGUGGGCAUUUGCUCAGAUCGGCCAUUGUAGUUUGGAUUAUGUAUUUUAGUCUCCCUAAUGCUACUUUUCAUGCAUCUAAGUCUGAUCAGCUCACUAGACACCAACGUUAAUUGCUUGAGUUGGGUGAAUUUACUCAAGUUCUGCAUGACAAAUCAGACCGAGAGUGGUAUUCUCACUGUUUUUAAAAUAUCUGGGAUAGGUAGAAAUAACUGGCAGCCCUUCCAUGUGUCUCCUUAAAAUUUCUCUUUGCUGCCAUCUCUUCCCUCUAAGACCUAACAAAGCACCACGUUCACAUCAUCUUCAACCCCUUCUUCUCUCAGGUACGUGACUGUUCUGUUUGCUGUCUGUUUGUGAAAUGGUUUGAGCUCAUCUAGGGAAGCCAAAGUAUUUUUAUCACAAAUGUAGAUGCCUGAAUUCCAGCAAGGGCCUCAGCACUUUCCAGCACCUCUGCAAAAAAAAAAGGAAAAAAAAAGGGGGUGGAAUGGCAGGAAGGAAGCUCCGUCACAACCACCUUCCUUUUGUAUCUGCUCCCAUCACCCUAUAGUCACUCAGGCCCUGGCUCCAAACUUUCAAAUAGCUCCCAUCUGCUGCUACAAACGAUGUGAGUGCUUUCAGGCACCGUGGUGUGCUUGGAUACCUGCUACCUGUCCUGUCCCAUCCCUGGGGGAUGCAUCUUCUUUUCUUGCAGUAUUCCAAAAUCAGCUGGACUUACCCUACGCCUGCUGUAUCCACUGACACAGGCGCAGUUGCCAGCAAUGUGGACAGCGGCAAGUAAACAGGUGCAAGUAUCACAGAUUAGGAAAGCCGCUUUAAAUUUAAUAGCCCAACAGUUGGUUGGAGUUGAAACAAUCCCAACGGAAAUAAUCCCCCUGCAUGUAAACCAAGUCUACGAGGGAAAAUGCGAUGUGGCUGCUGGCGGCCCCAAUAAAGCAGGGCGAUGCUGAGGAUUUCUGGCCA
This 2411-nucleotide long non-coding RNA is filed under the name Anas platyrhynchos platyrhynchos (common mallard). RNAcentral describes it as "lncRNA (ENSAPLG00000029817.1)". Lineage: Eukaryota; Metazoa; Chordata; Aves; Anseriformes; Anatidae. The record is from RNAcentral.